This 138-nucleotide ribosomal RNA is filed under the name Listeria monocytogenes. RNAcentral's name for it is "partial 16S ribosomal RNA". It matches the Rfam family "Bacterial small subunit ribosomal RNA", at positions 1 to 130 of the family's 1533-position model. The record is from RNAcentral. Lineage: Bacteria; Bacillati; Bacillota; Bacilli; Caryophanales; Listeriaceae.
UAUUUUAAAGAGAGUUUGAUCCUGGCUCAGGACGAACGCUGGCGGCGUGCCUAAUACAUGCAAGUCGAACGAACGGAGGAAGAGCUUGCUCUUCCAAAGUUAGUGGCGGACGGGUGAGUAACACGUGGGCAACCUGCC